GUGAGGAAUAUUGGUCAAUGGGCGGGAGCCUGAACCAGCCAAGUCGCGUGAAGGAAGAAGGAUCUAUGGUUCGUAAACUUCUUUUGCAGGGGAAUAAAGUGCAGGACGUGUCCUGUUUUGUAUGUACCCUGAGAAUAAGGAUCGGCUACCUCCGUGCCAGCAGCCGCGGUAAUACGGAGGAUCCGAGCGUUAUCCGGAUUUAUUGGGUUUAAAGGGUGCGUAGGUGGUUUGAUAAGUCAGCGGUGAAAGUUUGAAGCUUAACUGUAGAAAUGCCGUUGAAACUGUCGGACUUGAGUGUAAAUGAGGUAGGCGGAAUGCGUGGUGUAGCGGUGAAAUGCAUAGAUAUCACGCAGAACUCCGAUUGCGAAGGCAGCUUACUAAGCUACAACUGACACUGAAGCACGAAAGCGUGGGGAUCAAACAGGAUUAGAUACCCCAGUAGUCC
RNAcentral lists this ribosomal RNA (445 nucleotides) under uncultured bacterium. Its description in RNAcentral is "partial 16S ribosomal RNA". It matches the Rfam family "Bacterial small subunit ribosomal RNA", at positions 354 to 796 of the family's 1533-position model. The record is from RNAcentral.